Long non-coding RNA from Apodemus sylvaticus (European woodmouse), 1250 nucleotides. RefSeq lists it as uncharacterized. Lineage: Eukaryota; Metazoa; Chordata; Mammalia; Rodentia; Muridae. The transcript has 3 exons. The record is from RefSeq and is a predicted model, not a curated record.
CACAGCUAAGGUUUGGCUCAUUCCUGAGAGCUCCAAUGGAGACUCUUCAUGUUGAGACUGACUCAUUCCUGGAGCCAGCCCACCAAUUCCAGACACCCCAACCCUGGACCAAGGCUCCAGUGGGGAUCCAAAGCACAGUGAGGAAAGCACAGUGGGCCUUCCCUGCACUUCCAUCGGAACUAGGCUACAGCACCUAGCAGACCAAAGGAACCCGCUGCUGGGGCUUGAAGGAGAAUGGUCCCCAUAUGAAUGAUGCAGGGAAAUGCUGAUAGGUUGUUUCAGAAAGAUUCCACAUGGUUCCUUUCGAAAAUGUUUCUUCGUGAUUUCACUCCAGUAUGCUAUGUCACCCAUGGAGUCUCACCUGGCAAAGAGAUACAUGAGACCCAUGAAGUGUGCUGCGGAUGUUUUAGAACCUUAACUUUAUUCCUUCUCAUCGCUGUGAAGAUGAAGAAUAUGAGUGCUUUGAGCUGAUUCAAGAAAAUUAUAUUUAUAAUCAAUCAAUAGAACAAAGGGUAAACAAUCUUUUUGUAGAUAAUUACAUUUCGAGACUCAAGGUUUAAUUGUCUAAAUGUCUCGUUUUCCGGGUAAUAAUAACCAUGUGGGUAAUGAUAUCCACAUUUUGGUUGGAUAUCAGGGUCGCUACAUGAGACGGAACCCUUACCAGACAUUGCUGAAGUGGCCAAGAUCUGAGACUAGAUAGGUAAUGGAUCUAGAGGAAAACCUACCACUUUAUUCUGUUAAAAUAACACGGCAAUGAAAUAAAUCCAAAUGAUAUACCGCUAUGUCCGUACUCCAGAAUAUUGCUCAACCCUUAUCAGAGAUGCUUCCUCUUGCAGUAGAUUGACAAAGUGAUCCACAACUGGUCAUUGUACAGAGGGUGAAAGACUUUGAGACCUCAGUCCUAAGUGGGAGCCUCCCCGGGCUCAGGGAACUUUGCUAAAGGGGACCCAAGGAUUCUAACAGCCAAAAGUGGUGGACAAUGCCAGAGAAAGAGUCUUUCAGAUACACCAGCACAUACAAACUCACAGAGUCUGUGACAACACCCACAGUUCUGCACAGGCUCUGACCACAUGCCAUCCCAGCACUGAGCCAGGGAAGUAGACGCAAAGUCCCACCUCUAACCACAAAGCUAUUUGCAAUUGGUACCAGCUGGGAAGGGGAAAAUCCGUUUUCUCCAAUGAAGUGUCACUGGGUAUAUUAACCGUACCCCAGGGUAGGCCACAGACCCAGGAGUAGUUGGCCAAAACAAA